CAUCUAAACAUUUAUUUUUAACAGAACAGGAAUAUUAACAAUUAAAAAAAUGGGUUUCUCAUGAUUAGUUUGCCCUAGGCGCUUAACGGUUCAGUCAUGGGCAGUGCAACUAUUGAAAAAAAAUCUAGCAAUGUCCAGUUUUGCAUGAUUGUCCUGCCCAAGCCGCUCUACUGUUUAGUCACUGCUACAGCAGCUAGAGUAAAAUGCGGUCUAUAUGUCCGGGGAUGGAGCAGAAAUCCUCCUGUGACAUCUCGAGGAAGCUCUCCUGGAGGUAAUUGGAAAUCCGUUGCAUUAGGUUCCUGGGGAGAGCGGCCUUAUUGGGUCCUCCGUAGUACGACAUGUUGCCACGCCACGAGACAAGCAAGUACUCGGGAAUCAUUGCUCUGCACAGCAGGGCGGCAUACGGCCCUGGUCUUUGGAGGCUUUCCCGGAGCAUUCUCUCUUUCUCGCUGUCAGAGAUCCUCAUGAGGGUGAUGUCGCUCAUGGUGACCUGCUUUGAAUGAGCCCCAUCUGCGACUGUCUCACAACCUAGCCUGGCAUCACACUUCCAGAGGCUAGCGAGGAUUAGGCAUAGGAAGAAGAGGACACGGGAGGACAUGUUCUCAGAGCUUAUGGCCUGCUCCCGAGCCCAGGCAGCACAGCAGACCCAGUGGCGGGAGAACUUGUCCCAAAUGCAGCAAGCAAACAUGGAUCGGGAGGAGAGGUGGCGGCAGGAAGACCAGCAGGCGACUCAAACCCUGCUUGGACUACUGAGGGAGCAAGCGGACACGCUCCGGCGCCUUGUGGAUGUUCUGCAGGAACGGAGGCAGGAGGACAGAGCCCCACUGCAGUCCAUCUCUAACCGCCCUCCCCCGCCACCAAGUCCCAUACCCCCCUCACCCAAAGUGCACAGAAGGAGAGGCGGCAGAGUCCACGCAAACUCUCACUCCACCCCUGCAGAGAGCUCUAGUAGCAGAAGGCUCUCAUUCCCCAAAAUUUGACAAGUUCUUUCCUUCCCGCCUGACACAAGCCCCCGUCCAAGUUUCACCUCCCAGUUCCAUGUGUAGUUGAUAAUAAAAAAUACGUUUCUGUUAA
This is a long non-coding RNA of Malaclemys terrapin pileata, 1074 nucleotides long. RefSeq lists it as uncharacterized. NCBI's taxonomy places the organism in Eukaryota, Metazoa, Chordata, Testudines, Emydidae. The transcript is spliced from 2 exons. The record is from RefSeq and is a predicted model, not a curated record.